Cydia splendana is the source of this 965-nucleotide long non-coding RNA. RefSeq lists it as uncharacterized. Lineage: Eukaryota; Metazoa; Arthropoda; Insecta; Lepidoptera; Tortricidae. The transcript is spliced from 2 exons. The record is from RefSeq and is a predicted model, not a curated record.
UGUCAUUUAGUUUUGUAUCCACUUUAGCUACAUGUGCGCUUUCUAACCACACAGGAGCGCAGUAUUCAGCGGCAGAAUAUACUAGGGCAAUGCCAGUGGUACGCAGGCAUUCGGCGGAUGCUCCCCAUGAUGUGCCACACAAUCUGUGCAGGAUGUUAUUUCGCGAAGCUAGCUUGAGUGAGAGUUUGGUGAGAUGCUCCUUGUACGUAAGUGAUCUAUCAAGGGUGACUCCGAGGUAUUUAGGGCAUUGGUUAUACCGUAGCUUUUCGCCGUUGAAAUACACCGUAGGUUGGUAGUUAGCCAUUUGGUUGCUCAGAUGGAAACAUGUUACCUCUGUCUUGCUCACGCUAGGAAUUAGUCGCCAAACCUUAAAAUAUUCCGCCAGCCUGCCCAGAUUCGCUGUAAGGGUUUUUUCCCCAGAAGUAAAGGAUUUGCUUUGUGCGACCAGUGCUAUAUCAUCUGCGUAGAUAAAUUUAUUAGCUUCCGUUGAUGGUAGGUCGUGGAUGUAAAGAUUAAAGAGCUUUGGUGCCAACACUGAUCCCUGUGGCAGACCAUUAUUCAGUUUCCGUCUUUUACUUCUGGAAUCGCCCAAGAAAACCUCAAAUUCCCGUUCACUUAACAUGCUGUUAAUGAGAUCCGCCAGCUCUCUGCUUGGAAUAGCGUUGAGCACCUUGCUCAUGAGGCCUUGUUUCCACACUGUGUCAUAAGCAGCUGUCAAGUCUAUAAAAACGGCUGUGGACUUGAGCGCUUUCUGGUAUCCAGCUUCGAUGUGAGUCGUAAGGGCUAAAACUUGAUCCGUGCAACUUCUUGCAGGUCGGAAUCCAGCUUGUUCAGGAGGGAAGAACACGUUCAAGGAGUUUCAGUGUGCAGCUAAGAAGUGCGAUUGGUCGAUAGCUCUCUGCUUGAUUUUCCGGUUUUCCCGGCUUCAGUACUGCGACCACCUUUGACAGUUUAAACUCUCGUGG